AGACCAGGGGAGCACACUCCAUAAGCGAGUUUACAGAUCGCCGCCUAAAAUUCAGCCACCUGACC
Molecule: transfer RNA, 65 nt
Filed under: Bronchocela cristatella (Green crested lizard)
Lineage: Eukaryota; Metazoa; Chordata; Lepidosauria; Squamata; Agamidae
Description: partial tRNA-Tyr
Source: RNAcentral